CCUACGGGUGGCAGUAGUCGAGAAUCAUUCACAAUGGGGGAAACCCUGAUGGUGCGACGCCGCGUGGGGGAAUGAAGGUCUUCGGAUUGUAAACCCCUGUCAUGUGGGAGCAAAUUAAAAAGAUAGUACCACAAGAGGAAGAGACGGCUAACUCUGUGCCAGCAGCCGCGGUAAUACAGAGGUCUCAAGCGUUGUUCGGAAUCACUGGGCGUAAAGCGUGCGUAGGCUGUUUCGUAAGUCGUGUGUGAAAGGCGCGGGCUCAACCCGCGGACGGCACAUGAUACUGCGAGACUAGAGUAAGGGAGGGGGAACCGGAAUUCUCGGUGUAGCAGUGAAAUGCGUAGAUAUCGAGAGGAACACUCGUGGCGAAGGCGGGUUCCUGGACAUUAACUGACGCUGAGGCACGAAGGCCAGGGGAGCGAAAGGGAUUAGAUACCCCAGUAGUC
RNAcentral lists this ribosomal RNA (446 nucleotides) under uncultured bacterium. Its description in RNAcentral is "partial 16S ribosomal RNA". It matches the Rfam family "Bacterial small subunit ribosomal RNA", at positions 338 to 795 of the family's 1533-position model. The record is from RNAcentral.